UACGGAGGGUGCAAGCGUUACUCGGAAUCACUGGGCGUAAAGGAUGCGUAGGCUGGAGAUCAAGUCAGGAGUGAAAUCCAACGGCUCAACCGGUGAACUGCUUCUGAAACUGGUCACCUAGAAUAUGGGAGAGGUAGAUGGAAUUAGCGGUGUAGGGGUAAAAUCCGUAGAUAUCACGAGGAAUACCGAUUGCGAAGGCGAUCUACUGGACCAUUAUUGACGCUGAGGCAUGAAAGCGUGGGGAGCAAACAGG
Molecule: ribosomal RNA, 253 nt
Filed under: uncultured bacterium
Lineage: Bacteria
Description: partial 16S ribosomal RNA
Rfam family: Bacterial small subunit ribosomal RNA
Source: RNAcentral